Long non-coding RNA from Haliotis rubra (blacklip abalone), 137 nucleotides. RefSeq lists it as uncharacterized. Lineage: Eukaryota; Metazoa; Mollusca; Gastropoda; Lepetellida; Haliotidae. The transcript is spliced from 3 exons. The record is from RefSeq and is a predicted model, not a curated record.
UGUUAAUGGUAGCUACGCCCCUUGGACAUAGUUUUCAUCGUCAUUUCCACAACUUCACUUAUGGCAAAUGUACAAUUAGACUACAAGUUUCUUCCUACGUCUCGUGGUGGAAGAUACCUAUGUGUAAAUGGUUAUAU